AUCGCUACCCAUCUCUCACUGCCUCCCAACCUAGGGUUCCCAAACACCGCUGCCCUCCGCCGCGUGUUCCUCCGCCACUCUCCCCACGCGCCGCGCCGUGGGCACCAUCGCCGUCUGUCUCUCCUGCCCAAUCGCUUGCCGCAACGAGUCACGCCGCCUCCUCCAUCCCCGUCACCUUCUGUCGGCCGAAGAUAGCCACAACGCCGAUGAGUGAAGGGGGUGGUGCCGUCGGAUCAGAGACACCAGGCGGUGGUGACAAUGACAGCGGCCGACAACCUAUGGGGAUUAGCAGGACAUGAGGGCACACGAUAGGCAGCAGCGCACAAUAUCCAUGUUCAGAAGUGGCGGUUUGGUGGUGACAACAGAUAAAAGCAUCAGUGAUGUGUUUCGGCUCUUGGCUUCCUGCACUGUUUGACUUCAGUUAAGUACUGCCGCCGCGCUACUUCUUAUGUGAAGGUACUGCUACUACUGCAGCGACGGCCAAUGAGGUAGAAUCGUGGCUGCAACUUGGCGAGUUAAGUAGUGGCUUAACUGAUUUUUCAAUGACCAAGCUGUGGUUCGUUGAUUUUGAUUGUACCUAUAUUCUCGUUCUCUAUUAUACCUCUGAACAAAUAUUAAUCUAGGAGUAUUUCCUACAGAGAUCAAGCAGAACUAGUCUACCGAAUUCAGAUAACUCUGUGCAACAGUGUGUUACCAACCAUAGAAAGAGUGAGCCCAUUAGGUUUUCCUGUGAUAAAAUGGCCUGAAGAUUACAGUUUCAAUUUGUUAUUCCAGUCUAGCUCAGGUGUUUCAUAGACUUUCAGAAAUAUCUAUUCUUGAACUUCACUGAAGUGGGCUUCCUUCUGAGAAAAAAAGUACCAAUGCAAAAAUGAUUUAUUUUGAUCAGUAUUCGCAAAAAAAUUACUUUGAUCAGGGAAGAGGAGGCAGUGAGGGGAGUGAGCAUGGUGACGGGUUGCUUUGGCGUUCUCUUGCACGGGGAUAGGAAGCUGGAGUAAUCCAAGACCAGGUAUGUCCCCAUUGCUCUUAGGAAGGAUACUACAUUUUUUAAGUCGUUUACUCUUACCACUCGAUCACGGUUUACUAUUACUCUAGGUGAGAACUGAGAUUUGCAAUUUUGUUAAUCUUCCUAAUGUUGCUCGCAUAGACAUAGUGGCCAAGAUGGGACAUUUUAUCUUCCUAAUGUUACCGAGUCAGAUUAAAGAUGGGACAUUUUAUCAGGUGUUGCUCGGAUGAGAGUGACCGAGUGAGAGAGAGGUUUGCUAUACCUUGUAUCUGAGCUAACAUCAUUUGAUUUAAUUGUUGCUUUUGAUCAUGCGUUCAGGACUAGCCUACAGCCAGGAAAGAACCUGAACCCCAAGUAGGAAGGAGGGGCUCGGUGUUGAAAAAAGAACAGAGAGAAUUGUGCUGAUCAGGAGAAGUUAACUCAAAAUCCAAGAUGUGACCUUCACAUAGCUCACAAACUUAACCACUAUUUGAUUCUUGGUAACAUUGUACGGGACACAUAACAUCCAGUUGUAUAACUGUAUAAGUAGGGUGUACUUGAUACCUAUGUUGUUCUUUGUUAACUUGUUCGCUGAAUAUUUUUCUUGCGGGAUAAGCAUCCGAUCUAUUCAUCAUC
Molecule: long non-coding RNA, 1618 nt
Organism: Triticum dicoccoides
Lineage: Eukaryota; Viridiplantae; Streptophyta; Magnoliopsida; Poales; Poaceae
Exons: 2
Source: RefSeq, a predicted model, not a curated record